Molecule: long non-coding RNA, 500 nt
Organism: Eupeodes corollae
Lineage: Eukaryota; Metazoa; Arthropoda; Insecta; Diptera; Syrphidae
Exons: 4
Source: RefSeq, a predicted model, not a curated record
GAUUGACCAGAUAAAUAUUUUAACUGAGGACGUGUCCAAUGAAUUUUGUUUUCGGAUAAUAAAAUGAAGCCUUUUUGCAAACGUGGUUUCUACAAUCAUCAAUGUUACCAGAAAAAAAACCAUUCCGGGCCUGCACAGAAAACAUCUAACUCCUCAUCAAUAUUCGUGAAUUCAAGAGCAUGCAACAUGGAAUUACUUAUUUGAAGAUUAAAUAUUGGUUCUCGAGUGACGUUUGAGGAUCAUUCUUCGGAAAUAAUCUUGACUCUCUGAAAUUUCAAUCACUGGAAGUUUAUCAUGCAAAAACCAACCUUGUUUGUUCAGAAGACGUCCGCUGAAAAACUCUAAAUGAUACAAUGAAAGUCUUGCACAACACACCCUAACACUUAUUGGUCUGCACAUACAUUUUACUACUGCGCUAGAAAAUUUGAUACUCUCAAGACCGCAAUGGGUGCAAACCCAGAAGAUUGAUGAUAAAGGCCCACAGUAUAUGAUUCAAAUGA